RNAcentral lists this long non-coding RNA (362 nucleotides) under Vitis vinifera (wine grape). Its description in RNAcentral is "long non-coding RNA (VVIN_LNC007600)". The record is from RNAcentral. Lineage: Eukaryota; Viridiplantae; Streptophyta; Magnoliopsida; Vitales; Vitaceae.
CGAAAAAUAAUAGAAUCCGGGCAACUACGGGAAAAAGGUAGAAUCCAUGCGAGUAUCGAAAAAUUGUCCUGACGACUACCGGAAAAGGGUUGAAUCAAUGUGAGUACCGAAAAAUAGUAGAAUCCGGGAGAGUACUGGGAAAAGGUAGAAUCCGUGCGAGUAUCGAAAAAUUGUCCCGGCGAUUACAAAAAAAUGGUCGAAUCAAUGUGAGUACCGAAAAAUAAUAGAAUCCGGGCAACUACGGGAAAAAGGUAGAAUCCAUGCGAGUAUCGAAAAAUUGUCCUGACGAGUACCGGAAAAGGGUCGAAUCAGUGUGAGUACCGAAAAAUAGUAGAAUCCGGAAGAGUACCGGGAAAUGGUAG